GACGAACGCUGGCGGCGUGCUUAACACAUGCAAGUCGAACGGAAAGGCCCUGCUUUUGUGGGGUGCUCGAGUGGCGAACGGGUGAGUAACACGUGAGUAACCUGCCCUUGACUUUGGGAUAACUUCAGGAAACUGGGGCUAAUACCGGAUAGGAGCUCCUGCUGCAUGGUGGGGGUUGGAAAGUUUCGGCGGUUGGGGAUGGACUCGCGGCUUAUCAGCUUGUUGGUGGGGUAGUGGCUUACCAAGGCUUUGACGGGUAGCCGGCCUGAGAGGGUGACCGGCCACCUUGGGACUGCGAUACGGCCCAGACUCCUACGGGACGCAGCAGUGGGGAAUAUUGCACAAUGGGCGGAAGCCUGAUGCAGCAACGCCGCGUGCGGGAUGACGGCCUUCGGGUUGUAAACCGCUUUCGCCUGUGACGAAGCGUGAGUGACGGUAAUGGGUAAAGAAGCACCGGCUAACUACGUG
Molecule: ribosomal RNA, 468 nt
Filed under: uncultured bacterium
Lineage: Bacteria
Description: partial 16S ribosomal RNA
Rfam family: Bacterial small subunit ribosomal RNA
Source: RNAcentral